This 460-nucleotide ribosomal RNA is filed under the name uncultured bacterium. Its description in RNAcentral is "partial 16S ribosomal RNA". It matches the Rfam family "Bacterial small subunit ribosomal RNA", at positions 338 to 795 of the family's 1533-position model. The record is from RNAcentral.
CCUACGGGAGUCAGCAGUGAGGAAUAUUGGUCAAUGGGCGGAAGCCUGAACCAGCCAAGUCGCGUGAGGGAUUAAGGCCCUGCGGGUCGUAAACCUCUUUUGCCGGGGAGCAGAGGUCCGGACGUGUCCGGGCCGGGAUAGUACCCGUAGAAAAAGCAUCGGCUAACUCCGUGCCAGCAGCCGCGGUAAUACGGAGGAUGCGAGCGUUAUCCGGAUUUAUUGGGUUUAAGGGGUGCGUAGGCGGGCAUUUAAGCCGGCGGUCAAAUGUCGGGGCUCAACCCCGGCCUGCCGUCGGCACUGGGUGCCUUGAGUGGGAGAGAGGUAUGCGGAAUGCGUGGUGUAGCGGUGAAAUGCAUAGAUAUCACGAAGAACCCCGAUUGCGAAGGCAGCAUACCGGCGCCCUACUGACGCUGAGGCACGAAAGUGCGGGUAUCGAACAGGAUUAGAUACCCGAGUAGUC